Molecule: ribosomal RNA, 255 nt
Filed under: uncultured bacterium
Lineage: Bacteria
Description: partial 16S ribosomal RNA
Rfam family: Bacterial small subunit ribosomal RNA
Source: RNAcentral
UACGGAGGGGGGCUAGCGUUGUUCGGAAUUACUGGGCGUAAAGCGCACGUAGGCGGCUUUGUAAGUUAGAGGUGAAAGCCCAGGGCUUAACCCUGGAAUUGCCUUUAAGACUGCAUCGCUAGAAUCGUGGAGAGGUGAGUGGAAUUCCGAGUGUAGAGGUGAAAUUCGUAGAUAUUCGGAAGAACACCAGUGGCGAAGGCGACUCACUGGACACGUAUUGACGCUGAGGCGCGAAAGCCAGGGGAGCGAACGGGG